This 83-nucleotide small RNA is filed under the name Marmota monax (woodchuck). The record is from RNAcentral. Lineage: Eukaryota; Metazoa; Chordata; Mammalia; Rodentia; Sciuridae.
GCCGGGCGUGGUAGGGAACGCCUGUAAUCCCAGCAACUCUGGAGGCUGAGGCCGGAGGAUCUCAAAUUCAAAGCCAGCCUCGG